GACGAACGCUGGCGGCGUGCCUAAUACAUGCAAGUAGAACGCUGAAGAGAGGAGCUUGCUCUUCUUGGAUGAGUUGCGAACGGGUGAGUAACGCGUAGGUAACCUGCCUUGUAGCGGGGGAUAACUAUUGGAAACGAUAGCUAAUACCGCAUAACAAUGGAUGACACAUGUCAUUUAUUUGAAAGGGGCAUUUGCUCCACUACAAGAUGGACCUGCGUUGUAUUAGCUAGUAGGUGAGGUAAUGGCUCACCUAGGCGACGAUACAUAGCCGACCUGAGAGGGUGAUCGGCCACACUGGGACUGAGACACGGCCCAGACUCCUACGGGAGGCAGCAGUAGGGAAUCUUCGGCAAUGGGGGCAACCCUGACCGAGCAACGCCGCGUGAGUGAAGAAGGUUUUCGGAACGUAAAGCUCUGUUGUAAGUCAAGAACGGGUGUGAGAGUGGAAAGUUCACACUGUGACGGUAGCUAACCAGAAAGGGACGGCUAACUACGUG
This 497-nucleotide ribosomal RNA is filed under the name uncultured bacterium. RNAcentral describes it as "partial 16S ribosomal RNA". It matches the Rfam family "Bacterial small subunit ribosomal RNA", at positions 28 to 507 of the family's 1533-position model. The record is from RNAcentral.